GGAGUUAGCCGGUGCUUCUUCUGCGAGUAACGUCACAGAUGUAAGGUAUUAACUUACACCCUUUCCUCCUCGCUGAAAGUGCUUUACAACCCGAAGGCCUUCUUCACACACGCGGCAUGGCUGCAUCAGGGUUUCCCCCAUUGUGCAAUAUUCCCCACUGCUGCCUCCCGUAGGAGUCUGGGCCGUGUCUCAGUCCCAGUGUGGCUGAUCAUCCUCUCAGACCAGCUAGGGAUCGUCGCCUAGGUGAGCCUUUACCUCACCUACUAGCUAAUCCCACCUGGGCUUAUCCAUCAGCGCAAGGCCCGAAGGUCCCCUGCUUUCCCCCGUAGGGCGUAUGCGGUAUUAGCAGUCGUUUCCAACUGUUAUCCCCCACAAAUGGGCAAAUUCCCAGGCAUUACUCACCCGUCCGCCGCUCGUCAUCUACAACGACAGCUUUAGUAAUAGUUACCGUCUCGUACUUCGCAUGUGUUAGGUCCGUCGCCGCCGACGCGUUCUACUCUGAGCCGACGGACGUACAACCUACUAGA
RNAcentral lists this ribosomal RNA (527 nucleotides) under uncultured bacterium. Its description in RNAcentral is "partial 16S ribosomal RNA". The record is from RNAcentral.